ACUGUCAUCUCGUCUGUCAUGAAAACAAAUGCCAUUUGUUUUUUGUUUGCUAGUUAGACAUCAUUCUAUUGUGUCCCGGAAGCAUUUUUUAUGGUCCCCGGGACGUCGGGACAUCGUUAAUUUCGAGCCCUGGUUGGGGGUUAGCCACCGGACAUCACAUUAUUGAACGCAAACAGGAAAACUACUGUGGACAUGAGUGUUGUCCAUCUGUGUGAAGGCAAAAUAUGGGGGACAUACCUGUCAACAUGCUUUUGUGCCCCUGUGCUUUCUCAGCUGCUGUCCCAGGCCAGCCAUGGAUGUUUUCACAGAAACAAGUCCCGCUUGUGUUGCGCACGUCCGCACGUGGCCCUUGCAGGAUCCCCGCCAUGGUUCCUGCAUGUGGACCGAGAAGGAAGAGAGGAUCUAAACACUCACAAAGCCUCCCUGUUCUUUUAGCCAAUCAGCAUGUUCUCUUUACUUGAUUGGAUAACAGGACACCCUAGGCAGCCGAAGGCACUUCAUUUGUUUAAAGAAGCCAUA
Molecule: long non-coding RNA, 519 nt
Organism: Alosa sapidissima (American shad)
Lineage: Eukaryota; Metazoa; Chordata; Actinopteri; Clupeiformes; Clupeidae
Exons: 3
Source: RefSeq, a predicted model, not a curated record